RNAcentral lists this ribosomal RNA (1334 nucleotides) under uncultured archaeon. RNAcentral describes it as "partial 16S ribosomal RNA". The record is from RNAcentral.
CGGUACGCUCAGCUCUCCCAAGCCGGGAGCGGCAUGACGAGUCAUUGUGCACCUAUUGGACGGGAUCCCCUCCCCUAUUGGGGCCCUUUGACCCCUAUUAUGGGAUAUCCAAUGUCUACGACCUUACGGGACAUUGGUUUUCGAGGCCGCGGGAUCCUACCUAGACGCCGGCUAAUCCAACAACAACAACCCCAUUGCCGGGUUGUUCGGGCAUUAGCCAUGCCCAACACCCUCGUUCUCGGGCCUCAACCUAAGACUCUGUGCUUAGGUCCGGGAUGCCCCGCGUCGUCCGCGCUUUGGAAAUGUUACGCCCGUUGGCACUAUUCCCUUGGAGCUCACGGACAUUUGCGUCCGACAAGUCCACAAAUUUUGCGUGGACCUCUUUCCCGGCCCGUUCUGGCCGCGGUCGGCGGCGCCAUUAUGGCCGCCGAGCUCACCACCGGCGAAAAUAACCCGAAUUUCGCAAGCAUCGACCCAACAAUUCAGAGAACCCUUUAGACCGCCGAAUUGGCAGUCCGCAGAUUCCCUAUGACCGUUAGAACCUUGGCCCUCUCCACUCCCCAUGAAGCCCCCAUCCCCACUUUAGGACAUUAGGAGCUCCCUGGUGGACACCGCUUCCGCGGAGUGGUCUUGCCGAAGCUGUCACUCCCUGCUUUCGACCCCCUCGUUUGGCCUAAUCUAUGGGCCCAUCAGGGUCGGCAUUUGCUACGCGCAAUCCACAUAGCCACUGGUGCUCAAUGGCUCCACGGCUUCCCUUUGGCACUUUGCGCGGCGGACCCUUCAUGCCAGCGUUCCGACUUUGAAUUUCCUUAACCGCCCCCUCGUGGUGUUGCCCACCUCGGACGCCAAAUUAACCUGAGUUGCGGCCCUUCGAGUGGCCUAUUCUGUCGACUUACUAACGGCCCGACUUCUGAGACGUACUGAUCGACUCUCCUCCACGUACCGGCAGCAGUCAAGCAUGACACUUCGUAGGACAAUUCAGUCCGUUGCUCGCUCUGGGUGCGGUUGUCAACGGUCGUACCAGAGACCUGACUACCCCUGUGACAACCCUGGCGGAGACGAUUUCUCCUCCUUCCUUACCCGUUGCCAUCCAGUCGUACAGGGCUUAAUAGGCCCGAUGUGCGCCCGAUGUUACCCGUCCUGUUACCCAUAGCUGUGGCUCUCCACUUCCGUUAGAGGAUUUGGACAGGAAUCAAGCCUAACACCCGACGUUGAGCGGGUGUACUUCGACCUUAGGCAUCAUUAGCGCGAAGUUUUAUCGCGCCACUUAUACAGGGACGAGGAACGUGUGUGGCGGGCAGUUUGGUGGGCUCACCCCAACCUACUCCAACGCC